RNAcentral lists this unclassified non-coding RNA (156 nucleotides) under Lachnospiraceae bacterium KH1T2. Its description in RNAcentral is "Clostridiales-1 RNA". Lineage: Bacteria; Bacillati; Bacillota; Clostridia; Lachnospirales; Lachnospiraceae. The record is from RNAcentral.
UGAUGUCAGGGUCAAAAGGUCAAAAUCCGAUUGUGCUUGCACAAAGAGGAUUGAGACCUUGGGACCCUGACAUCAUAAAAUAGAUUUAUGUAAUAUCGUAAAUCUUGUUUGGAACGGAGGUAUUAUAUGUCACAGAAAAACGAAGACUAUAUGUCA